AUCUAUCUUUUUACGCAGGUUUUCUCCAAGACAGAAGCUGCUUCGGUUCUUAUAGGAAUAUGUGCGCACAUGGAGGAACAUUCUGGGAGGAGCUCUAAGGAAGAAAUAGGCCAGAGUAGUUUUCUCACUAAGGCAUCUCGUCGAUCUUACUCCGGACUGGAGCUUUUAGGCAUUCCGAAAAAAAGAAGUAUCCUGGUGUUCGUCGCAAAUUACAUUGAUGCAUUUGCUUAGCAUAGACCAGGUUUUUUUCCCGAACACCCUCCCUCUAAGCGCCAGGCAGGCUUCAGAUAUAUACACGGAAGGAUGGUCAGCUUGGGGAAACUCCAGACCGAGAUGUCCAAGUGCGGUUCCCGGCCGAUGCGGAUGCAUUCCUCAAGUUUAGAGCACCGAGGUUGUUGCCUAUUUGGCAAUACGACUGGAUUAGUAGCCAACAUUGGACUAGCAGUUUUUUUACGGAAUGCUAAAGUACUUUAUGAGGAUGGAAGAUAAAGUCGACGAGCUUUUGUGCAGAAUAUUUGUCAACCUAGAGGCACCGAAGCCUCGGUACCCCCUGUUUUGUAGGAGUGUCUGCUGCCGUUUCCUGCUCCUGCUAAUGCCAUCUACGCUACCUACUGAUGCCCUUGCUUGGUGCCUUAACCGGAAGUAUAGGUGUGAAGCAUGAUAUUCACAUCUGUGGCAAGGAUGCCGCCCUGCAGAUGUAUUCAGUGGCCGUGAAUGCUAUCAAGUAGCUGUAUGUUGCAGGGUUUCCUGAAUUCGAUCAUCCACGGCCUCUACCGGACUGUCAAUGGUCGGCUUGAUGUUGAAUUUCCGCCAAAAAUCAAUUUCCAGGAUGCAUUUCCUGUUGAGAUCUGGAGCAAUCACUAUAGAUGUACACGGAGGGCACGUUCAUUGAGCUGUCUCUUUUCCAAGCUAUCGAUGCUACGAAUGGCCAGCUCGUAUUCCAGUUCAUCAAUUGUUAAGUGCGCACAGUUCAUUCCAUAGUACAACACAUAAAGAUGGGACAUAUCCAUGUUGAUAAAAUUAAGGUAAAAUUUAAAUUAUUUAAAUAUGUAUUCAAAAUACAGAAAUAUACAGAGAAAACCAAGCAACCUAAUACUGCAAAAUAAAUAAAU
This is a long non-coding RNA of Uranotaenia lowii, 1112 nucleotides long. RefSeq lists it as uncharacterized. The record is from RefSeq and is a predicted model, not a curated record. NCBI's taxonomy places the organism in Eukaryota, Metazoa, Arthropoda, Insecta, Diptera, Culicidae. The transcript is spliced from 4 exons.